UACGAAGGGGGCUAGCGUUGCUCGGAUUGACUGGGCGUAAAGGGCGCGUAGGCGGUUCGUACAGUCAGACGUGAAAUUCCUGGGCUCAACCUGGGGGCUGCGUUUGAUACGUGCGGACUUGAGUGCGGGAGAGGGUCGUGGAAUUCCCAGUGUAGAGGUGAAAUUCGUAGAUAUUGGGAAGAACACCGGUGGCGAAGGCGGCGACCUGGUCCGAUACUGACGCUGAGGCGCGAAAGCGUGGGGAGCAAACAGG
Molecule: ribosomal RNA, 253 nt
Filed under: uncultured bacterium
Lineage: Bacteria
Description: partial 16S ribosomal RNA
Rfam family: Bacterial small subunit ribosomal RNA
Source: RNAcentral